UACGGAGGGUGCAAGCGUUAAUCGGAAUUACUGGGCGUAAGGCGUGCGCAGGCGGUUUGUUAGGUCUGCUGUGAAAUCCCCGAGCUCAACUUGGGAAUUGCAGUGGAUACUGGCAAGCUGGAGUACGGUAGAGGAAGGUGGAAUUCCCGGUGUAGCAGUGAAAUGCGUAGAUAUCGUGAGGAACACCAGAGGCGAAGGCGGUUACCUGGACAGUUACUGACGCUCAGGCACGAAAGCGUGGGGAGCAAAAGGG
RNAcentral lists this ribosomal RNA (253 nucleotides) under uncultured bacterium. Its description in RNAcentral is "partial 16S ribosomal RNA". It matches the Rfam family "Bacterial small subunit ribosomal RNA", at positions 524 to 776 of the family's 1533-position model. The record is from RNAcentral.